CCAAUUAGCAUGUCGCCGUAAUCAAAAUCACGUUCCUCGGGCAUUGACGUCAUUUUCAAAUGGCCGUGUCUCGACACAUUUUCAAGAACGUGACAUCACAUUCGUUGAAAAACAGUAAACAGUAAUGAACACCUGUCAUUGCACUAUAUACUCAAACCAAACUAGGACGAGCUCUCAGUUCUCGCCGUCAAGGGCCGCUGCCGCUGUCAUGGUCGCUAGAAAGAGCUCCUCAGAGUUCGAGUCCGGUUCAAAUACUAUAAAGUCUUACGGAUAUCGGGCCUUACAAGAAAAGCAUCUUGUAGUAACAAAGUAUUUUGAACAGGAUUGCCUCGGAUUACCGAAGUCGUUACCCUUCGUUUGGUCCUCAGAACGCCCUAAGAGUUUCCGUUGGUCACGAAGAAUUAUCCGUAAGGCACUCGGCAUAGUCAUCUCGUACACCGUACUUCUAAUCCAGACUCAGGGAUAGAGAUGUCAACCAAAUAAUUGUGGCGCUUUACCGUCACCGGUAACGUCAAUUCAAAGGUACUCCACUGUCCAUGCCCAGUUGCUUUGCUCCGACUUGAAUUGUUUGCCUACCGCUGACUGCGCACUGCUUGAAGCCAACUGACCUGCAAUGUCGCUGAUGAAGAGCUUGUUGCCUCUAUCCGUAAUUGCAAUUGCAAUUGCACAAAAAUGUCCGUAAUACGGAUAGGAUGUAUCCGUAUGAAGUGUAGUGUGUAGAAGUAUCGCCAAUAUUUGGCGAUACUUUUUGGUAUUGCCAAAACCACGGCAUUAAAAAAAGAACUUGUCCCCUUGAUUUGUUCAACGUUUAUUGCCACAUGGUGGCAAUACGCCGAGGUAUCGGCGAUACAUUUGUGUAUUGCCGUUUUGAAGGCAAUACUUUUCUGGAAGGCCGUUUAUUGGCAAUACUUGAUUGUAUCGCCAAAAAAAAGUACCAAAAGCAUCGCCAUUAGAUUUACAGUGCUGUAGUGUAGUGUGAGGGGUGUACGGAAAUGGUACAGAAAAAAUAUAGCACACUGUAAAAAAUACCGUACUUUUGCACGGAAAUGGUAAAGAAAAAUAAGGUACGGAGAAAAGUACGGAACGUUCCGUACCUGCUCCAUAUGAACCCAUGUAAAUGGGUACGGAAAAAAAGUACGGAACGUUCCGUAGUUGGCAAGUACGGACGGACCAGGCAAGACUAGACAUGUUCCGUACUUUUUUCUGACAGUGUACGGAGGUACGGAGGAAAAGUACGACACGUUCCGUACUUCCUCCAUAUGAACCCAUGUAAAUGGGUACGGAAAAAAAGUAUGGAACGUUCCGUAGUUGGCAAGUACGGACGGUCCAGGCAAAUUAUUGACCAGACAUGUUCCGUACUUUUACCGUACUUUUCUCUCACAGUGUAAGUAAUUCUCAGAGUUGCCGCGAUUUUCAAAGACUGACCCAUUUCAAGUUUUACAUAAAAUAAGGUCGAAAUUAUCUAAAGCCAUGUGAUAAUGGGG
Thrips palmi is the source of this 1484-nucleotide RNA transcript. RefSeq lists it as uncharacterized. The record is from RefSeq and is a predicted model, not a curated record. NCBI's taxonomy places the organism in Eukaryota, Metazoa, Arthropoda, Insecta, Thysanoptera, Thripidae. The transcript has 5 exons.